This 73-nucleotide transfer RNA is filed under the name Trichoplax adhaerens. RNAcentral's name for it is "tRNA-Arg for anticodon CCG". It matches the Rfam family "tRNA". Rfam says of the family: Transfer RNA (tRNA) molecules are approximately 80 nucleotides in length. Their secondary structure includes four short double-helical elements and three loops (D, anti-codon, and T loops). Further hydrogen bonds mediate the characteristic L-shaped molecular structure. tRNAs have two regions of fundamental functional importance: the anti-codon, which is responsible for specific mRNA codon recognition, and the 3' end, to which the tRNAs corresponding amino acid is attached (by aminoacyl-tRNA synthetases). tRNAs cope with the degeneracy of the genetic code in two manners: having more than one tRNA (with a specific anti-codon) for a particular amino acid; and 'wobble' base-pairing, i.e. permitting non-standard base-pairing at the 3rd anti-codon position. The record is from Rfam by way of RNAcentral. Lineage: Eukaryota; Metazoa; Placozoa; Uniplacotomia; Trichoplacea; Trichoplacidae.
AGGCCUAUAGCUCAGUGGAUAGAGUAAUAGAUUCCGAUUCUAGAUGUCGAGGGUUCAAAUCCCUCUAGGCCUA